Long non-coding RNA from Platichthys flesus (European flounder), 2959 nucleotides. RefSeq lists it as uncharacterized. NCBI's taxonomy places the organism in Eukaryota, Metazoa, Chordata, Actinopteri, Pleuronectiformes, Pleuronectidae. The transcript is spliced from 3 exons. The record is from RefSeq and is a predicted model, not a curated record.
UAGCAUCGCCGGCUAUGUUAGCCGCCAACAGCAGGCUGCUAGCUAGCUCACUGCUGUGCGGGUCUCAUGUUGAUGGAAUGAUGGAGACUCUAACCGUCGGGCACGUCUACUCCCAAACCGCGGCAGACUAAAGGAUAUCCUGCUGCAUUUGAGACAGUGAACUACCAGAUCCUUAUUUCCUCCCUGCAGGCUCUGGGUGUCUCAGGCCCUGCUCUCAUCAUACCUCAACGACCGCACUUACCAGGUAACAUGGAGAGGAUCUGUUUCUGAACCUUGUCCUCUCACUACUUGGGUCCCUCAAGGUUCCGUCCUGGGUCCCCUCCUCUUCUCGUUGUACACCAACUUUCUCAGUUCUGUCAUUCACUCACAUGGCUUUUCCUACCAUAGCUAUGCUGAUGACACCCAACUAAUCCUCUCUUCUCCACAAUCUGAAACACAGGUAGCAGCACAAAUCUCUUCCUGUCUGACUGACAUCUCUCAGUGGAUGCUCGCACACCAAAGGCUCUCCCACCCAUGACCUGACUAUUACCUUUGACAACUCCAUCUUGGCCCCCAACCAGACUGCUAGGAACCUGGGUGUGAAACUCGACAGUAAACUCUCCCUUUCCACCAACAUUACUGCAACAGCAUAUUCCUGUAAAUUCAUGCUUCAAAACAUCAGGAAAAUACGUCCCCUUCUCACUCAGUAGGCGGCGCAGGAUCUGAUCCAGGCUCUGGUCAUCUCCCGCCUAGACUAUUGUAACUCCCUCCUGGCUGAUCUACCUGCUAGUGCCAUCUGACCUCUGCAGGUCAUCCAGAAUGCAGCAGGUCGACCGGUCUUUAACCUAAAUUCACACACGCUACUCGCCUCCAAUGCUCUCUUCACUGGUAACCAGUGGCUGCCCGCAUCAGUUUUAAAACAUUGGUGCUUGCGUACCGUGCUGCGAACGGAUCAGGUCCAGUCUACAUCCAGGACAUGGUCAAACGUUACACCCCAGCCCAUUCACUUUCUGCAUCUGACAAUCAGCUUGCUGCUCCCUCACUGCAAGCUAAUCACUCACAAAAUCACGACUGUUUGCUGUCCUGGCUCCUAAUUGGUGGAAUGAGCUCCCCAUUGAAACCAGGACAGCAGAAAGUCUACACAUCUUCCUGUGCAGACUAAAAACACAUCUCAUCAAACUACACCUUGAAUAAAAAAAAUAAAAAAAACUUUAGUUCAAACAAAAUAUUUAGUAGCACUUAAACAGCACUUACUUAUAGCACUUUGUAGUUUGGCUUUCUUGAAGAAAAUUGUACUUUCUUGAUUCUUGUCCUGGGUUUGUAUCUUCAUGGUUGAAUGCACUUAUUGUAAUUCACUUUGGAUAAAGGGCUCAGCUAAAUGUAAUGUAAUAUGAUAUUCUGUUGAGAAAGCAAUAUUUUCUUGGUAAAGUUGCAGGGGAAAGAGUGGACAGAGAGCCUUGUGUGAUGUAAACUGCUGCGUCAGUGCGAAGCUGCAAAGGUGGGCAGGACAUUUGCAUCUCAAAGAGCCUCCUCAAGCUCCUCAGCUCAUCAGUGUCUAUUGAACUUUGCUGCCUGAACAUGUGAAGCGGUCCAGUGGGACUGUGGUGCUCAUUACACACCAGACAGCAUGUCGUGUGGACGUUAGUUACGUCUGUCCUGAGGAUGGCACCAGAGGAAAGACCAUAGCUUUUAGACAUCUCAGACUCAGUCCUUUUGGGAGUCAUCACAGGUAUGAAUUCUCCUGGGACAGACACAUACAGAGAGUGGUAACCAAAAUGUUUAAAGGAUGUGCAACAUAUCUGACAUUAAAACCUAUCGAACAAGUAAUAAAAACAUUUUUGGAUUGUUGCUCAGCAGUUUGGUCCCAUUCUACAUAAGGUGAUAUUCAAAUAUUAAUUGAAAAAAAUUCUGAAAAUGCAUAAAUAACUGAAUGCAUCAAUGUAUCCCUGAGGGUUGUCUAGAGUGGUGCCUGAUAUCUUUUGAAAUGUUGAUUUAAAAAAGAUCAGUCAUGCAUAAUUUCUAAACGAUUUAUACAGCAACAAAUUCAAUAAAUAUAUACUUUGGAAAUACAAGUAGAAUAGGCAAUGUUUUAUUUAAUAUGUCCAUUUUAAACACAAACAUUAAAAGCUGUAAAUUGCAGUUCACUGGCUUUAAUUUUUACUGUUGUUUAAAAACCUUUCACAUUUAAAGGUUGAUUUCCACCGGUUUUCAUUCAUGACUGCACAGUGACGGGUGACGUCACAGAUGCUAACUUAGAUUCUACCAAUUAAAUCCAAUUUAAAGCUCAACUUUCUCCCGUGUUCACACAGGAUCUCUGCCGCCCAGACAGACUGACCAUCAGGUUCUUGAUCCUCUCUGUUCAUAAGGUCCUUGGUCAGUUUGGUGACCAGCUCUCCACAGGUUUUGGUUGGAAUAAACGUCUUCCAUUUAAGAAUUGGAGGCCACUGACACUUUGAUGCCGCACACAUAGCCUUCUCCAGAUCUGUGACCCUCGACACAGUCCUGUCUCUGAGCUCUGCAGCUUCUUCACCUCAUGGCUUAGAUUAUCCUUUGACAGGUUCAGCGUGGAGUUGACCUGCUUGGCCGACAGCAGGCUGUGCCACUGAGCGACCGGCCGCCGCGGGUUGGACAACAUGUCGGCCCAGUGUUUCAGCUGGUUCCCUGUGGCGUCGCAGCCCAGGAAUAUCUUCCCCAUGGCAUCAUUUCGGGACACGGCAUCGUGGUCCCACAAUGAGAUGACCAGGUUCACCCUCUGAGGAGGACAAGAAAACUCAGUCACAACAGAAUCAAGGUGCGACUUUGUUGGAUCCAGUUCAGUAACACAUUUUCACAUUUCUUUCCAGUGUUUUUCAGUCCGGGUUUCAGGUUAAGCCACUGCCCUUAUGGAAGAUUUAAAAUGCCCAAAUGAUUUCCUUUAAAGACAUUUAAUUUGUCAUAAUCAAAUGAACAAACAUGUAUAAAUGCUAAUUAUUUACAUAUC